UACGGGGGGAGCAAGCGUUGUUCGGAUUUACUGGGCGUAAAGGGCGCGUAGGCGGCCACCGCAAGUCAAUUGUGAAAUCUCCGGGCUUAACUCGGAACGGUCAACUGAUACUGCGGGGCUAGAGUGCGGAAGGGGCAACUGGAAUUCUUGGUGUAGCGGUGAAAUGCGUAGAUAUCAAGAGGAACACCUGCGGCGAAGGCGGGUUGCUGGGCCGACACUGACGCUGAGGCGCGAAAGCUAGGGGAGCGAACGGG
RNAcentral lists this ribosomal RNA (254 nucleotides) under uncultured microorganism. RNAcentral's name for it is "partial small subunit ribosomal RNA". It matches the Rfam family "Bacterial small subunit ribosomal RNA", at positions 524 to 776 of the family's 1533-position model. The record is from RNAcentral.